Molecule: ribosomal RNA, 329 nt
Filed under: uncultured eukaryote
Lineage: Eukaryota
Description: partial 18S ribosomal RNA
Rfam family: Eukaryotic small subunit ribosomal RNA
Source: RNAcentral
CCCUUAGAUGUUCUGGGCCGCACGCGCGCUACACUGACGGAGGCAGCGAGCGUGUCCUUCGCCGGCAGGUGCGGGCAAUCUUGCGAGUCUCCGUCGUGCUGGGGAUAGAUGGUUGCAAUUGUCGAUCUUGAACGAGGAAUUCCUAGUAAGCGCGAGUCAUCAGCUCGCGCUGAUUACGUCCCUGCCCUUUGUACACACCGCCCGUCGCUACUACAGAGUGCCCGUGUCCAAGAAACGGUCGGACCUGUGCGGCCUCUCCGGGCGACCGGAGGGCCGUUGCGGGGAAGACCCUUUAUUUGACGCGGGUCGAUGAAGUAAAAGUCGUAACA